AUGCUUCAUCAUGCAGAUGCGGUGUACAUUCAUCAUUCAGGAAGUGGUGUUUUAUUAUUGCAGCUCAUGACUAAACUAUUUCUAGUUGCCUUGCUCAUGUUUCAUCUCAUAAAACUAGAGGCAUGCUACACAGAUGAUGCAAUACUACCCGUUGGAAAUUAUCAUCUUCUCAUUCAAUAUUUAUAUGUUUGGUUUGUUGGUUGGCAAGACAGCACGCAAGAGAGGAGAGAAUCAUCUUUGCCUGGUGGCCUUUGGAGGACCUUGCAAACCGACCACAUGUUAAGUAAUCACCUCCCCUUUUUACUCUGUUGGUAUGAAUGA
This 321-nucleotide ribosomal RNA is filed under the name Triticum aestivum (bread wheat). RNAcentral describes it as "partial small subunit ribosomal RNA". Lineage: Eukaryota; Viridiplantae; Streptophyta; Magnoliopsida; Poales; Poaceae. The record is from RNAcentral.